GGACAUGGCCCCUGCCUUCUUGGUGAAUGUGUGAACAUGCAAUCUAUCAGUCAGGGGAACACACCAGGGAAAUGAAGCAGGGCAGGAGGGUUGAGAGGUGUAUGUGUGUGUGUAUUGCAUUGUUUUAUGUCAGGUGAUCAGGAGAGGCCUCUGUGAAGAGGUGAUAUUUGAACAGUGACCUGUGCAAAGUAAGGGAGAGAGCUCUGUGCACAGCUAGGGAAGGGCAUUCCGGGCAGAGGGCACAGCAACUGCAAAGGCCCUGAGGUGGAUACUCAGUGGCCUGGAGUAAGUGGGUGAAGGUGGGGCAGGGACACCCUGCAGACUUCUGGCAUGACUGCCAGGAAUCUGUGCAGAAGGAGGUGGGAAAGGGCCCUCAGGAGAGUGUGAAGGGAGUCAGGAUGCAUGUGCAUCCUGCAAGCAGGCAGUGUUACUCUCACUGGGCAGGCACGUGUUAUAUGCCUGCUACAUGUGUGGUCUGUGGAGGGUUGGAUUGCAUCUCCUGGGGGGGCACUGACCCAGCAGGGUGGCAGUCACUUGGGGGGCUAUGCCCACUCCAGCUCCCUGGUCUGGUAUGUGGGCCUCUGUGUGAACAGGGUUGGUGCAGAGACUCAUGGUCCUGAGGUGUCAUGUGGCCCUGAAAGCUCCCUCCCCGCCAGUACCCUGGAACCCUGGCCAGGUGUCCUAGAAAUGCUGCUCUGAUCAGGUCUGUCUCCCUGGCUGCCUUCUGCCACCUGCCCGCCCUGCACCACUUAGCUGGUGACUCUGCCCCCACCCCCUCUCUUGCCCGCUGCCCACAGCCCCACACAGGCCUCUGCCGGCACCGUCUGUGCUGUUCACAUGGCUGGGCACAGGCUGCCCACUCCAGCUCAUCACCAUGCUGGCAUUCAGCAGCUGCACGUGGGUAAGGCACCGAGUCCCUGAGUACUGAACAUCUCCUUACCAGUUGAUAACUUGCUCCCGCCUUGCCCCCACUAGUUCACCCCCCACCAUUUCCCUGGUUGCUCGUCUUCUUGCCCAGGACCUGCAGGACCUGUCUUUCAAUGAUUCAGCAUCUGAAGGGUUGGCACCUGACAGCCGAAGUUCCAACACCUGCCCAAGGCUGUAGAAUGUCUGUCUAAUGGCUGAACACCCACACCUGACUGGUGCCAAGAGUUUUUAUAUGACCGUGCCUGGGUAGCUUGUCCCCCCUCUUCUGCGUCCCGCCCUCACUCUCGGGACUUGGCUCACACUAGCUCUUUGCCAGUUAAGUGGCCACUGGAUGCUCAGAGUCCGGAAAGGGCAGUAGCUGAGCAGGGAGCUGUGGGGAAGAGCUGGGAAGGGUUGGUGACAAUGGGCGGCCCCGGGGCAGAGGCGUCAGGAGGCCCUGCUCUCAGACUCGGACCUGGUUCCCGCAGGUGGAGGAUGUCUUCCUCCCCUCCAGCAUAGGCUCCUCCCGCAGCACCUGGUGGAGCACAGCCCCCAGGGGCACAUGCAGGCUUGGGCUGCCCUGACUGCCCAUCAUGAGGCAGAUGAUGGGCUUGGCACCGCUGCUCACAGCCAAGGAGAGGCACGCCAAUUGGUGAACAGAGCCUUUGUCUCCCCGGGCUGAUGGAGGAACCAGUAGAUGCUGAGGGGCAGGGUGCAGACGAACACCAGGAUGGCCAGGAUGACCAUGUAUAGUUGCAUGGGCUGCCACUGUCAGGAGCUUCUUUGAGGCUGGAUGAAGAAGACCACCCAGGACAGGACCACGAAAGUCAUGAAGCUGCCCAGUGUGAAGAUGUGGAAGACGGUGUCCACCGUGGAGCCCUGCCACAGGUGGGGGCUUCUGAGCCAGCAGAAGUACAGGGCCAGCAUGCCCCAUCCUGCGAAUCAAAAGCCUUGGUCUUUAAAAAAUCACCUUUGCUGGAGAGCCGACUUCAAAACUCAUCGAAGAAGGACCAGGGCUUAGGACUUGGACAGGCCUUUUGGGGGCACCAUCCGAUCCAGGUAUCCCACCGCACUGAGCAUCACCCCUGAUAAAGGAGGGGCUGCUUUACCCUCUGAUCCGUGAGAUGCGCCAGUGAGCUACACUGAGGCCGGAUCCCGCUGCCCUAGCCGACGGAGUCACAGUCCAGGCCUGGACCAGCCGGGCCAGGAGCACAGCCCUCACCCUGCACUUGUCACAGGGAUGGUCCCGUAUUUAAGCGGGAAAUGCCUCAUGUGGCAGCCGUGGCCCCCCGAGAGCACCGUCAGUGGUGCAGAGCCUCACACACGGGCUCACGGAGGGGGUUCAGUGGCGGAGUUAAGAGGGACACAGAUUGUAGGUCACCUGCUGGGAGACCCCCCCCCUCCUGGCCCUGAGGCUGGCUGUGAAGGAAUGUUCUGGGCCUCCCAUCCAUGCUGGGCCGGGAAGCUGGCUUCACGCCUCCCCACCCGCUUUCCAAUGUAAACAGCCGCCUUGGGAGAGCCUGUGGGCUGGAAGGAGCUUGAUCUCCUUGUCUGUUGUUUGCACUAGUGAAGCAGCAGAGGCGACAAGAACAAAAAUGGCCUGAAAUCAGCUUUUUUUUUUUCAUUAAUCAGUUUUUCCCACCUACUUUUUUUUCCCACUGAAGUAGAUGAAGAAAAAGAUUCACUCUCCAUUUGCCUUCUUCCUUUGAACAAAGAGAAGCUUAUCUCAAGCUGUGUCCUUGAGAUAGAAAUAUUAGCCUGAGGACGGGCCACGCAUGACAGUGGUCCACAAUCUGCUUGGGUCCCUCCUGCAUGCAGGCGGUGUAGGCUGGUGGGUCCACAGGGGUGCUGUGAGUGUUGUCCCCGUGGGCAGAAGGGAAGGGGACACUAGGGAGGGGCACCCGGGGAUGAGCGAGUGGCUGAGUGCUGAGUUGAAGCUAGGCCUGCGGUGUGUUCUGAACCCUCGUGUGCCCCUGCCUCCUGCUCCGUGUCCUCUCCCUGUGCUGGCCGCAGUGUCCUGCCCUGGGGCGACAGUGCCCAGCCGCCCACGACCUGGAAGCUGGGGCCUCAGCUGCUGCCCAUUGCUGCUCCCUGUGCAGGGCUGGCCUGGGGAGUGGUCUCCUGAUGCUCCUGGAAGUCCUCUCCCUGGGAUCAGGGUCCUUGUCCUCCCAGAAGCAGGAAUUGGGGUGCAAGGUACAAAUGUGCGUGUAGUUGGGAGGCCCAGGGAGGCGGGUCUGCCCCGAGCAGCAGCCCCAUCAGCUCCGGUCAGUGGACAGUCCUUGGGGUGGGGUGGCGUAGGCACGAUCAUGGCCCCCAACAAUGUCCAGGCCUGUUAGGGGCUGAAUCCUGUCCCCCACAAAGAAUAUAUGAUGGAGUCCUAAUGCUCAGAACCUCCGAAUGUGACCCUAUUUGGAAAUAAAGUCUUUGCAGAUGUGACCAAGUGAAGAUGAGAUCAUGACGGGGGUCCCUGAUAAGUGUGGCCGGUGUCCUUAUACAAACGAGAGAUUUGGACUCACACUCGCAGCAAAGGAAGACGACGGGCUGCGUCUACAAGCCGAGGAACAUGGGAGCUUGCAUGAAGCCGGCCUGAAAAGGAGUUGACAAAGGAAGUCAAAGAUGAGAGAUGAGAACAGAUUCCAGACCACCGCAAGAUCCCGCUAUGCCGGAAGUGAGACCUUGCCCUGCACGUCUUCAUUGGGUGCUACUUAACCUCUGGAAAGCAGUGUGCCUCAUCUCAUGGACACGGUUUCUGUCACUUGCAAAUGACAGAGUCCCAGCCACACCUGCCCCCUGAAUAUAUGCGGUGGGUGCUACAUGUGGCAAACCCAGCGUAUGGGCUGAGCAGGCUCUGCGUCACCCCACUGCCCGGCCAGACAUUGCAAUCCUUGCUGCGAGGUGGCCUGUCAUUGUGCAAACUCUGUUCUGUGUAAACUCUGAAUAUUAUGCUCACAUGAUGUUUAACUGAGUUUGCUCAAGCCGCCAUAACUAAUGCUAUAGGUGGGGCUCACAUAACAGGACUCACGGUCCCCCCGUCCUGGAGGCUGGAAGCCUGAGGUCCAGGCGUGGGCAGGCAGGUCCUCCUGGGGCCUCUCUGCGUGUAUGUGGACAGCCGUGCUCUCCCUAGGGCUUCACAGGGUCGUCCCUCUAUGUGUGUCUGUGUUCUGAUCCCCUCUCCUUACAAGGACCCCAGUCACAUGGGAUCAGGGCCUCCCUGGUGACCUCGUGUUAUCUUGAUCACCUCUUUGAAGGCCCUAGCUCAAAAUACAGCCCCUUUACGAAGUACUGGGGUUAGGACUUCAACAUAGGAAUUUGGGGGACACAAUGCAGCCCAUAUCAGAGCCUUGGAAAAAUGGGUAGGAAAGGUCAGAAUUUCAGAGGCUUCUGGGCAUUCCCAGUAAUGUCCUCUAAGACUCAAACCUGAAUCCCAGAAGCUGAACUCUCUAAAAGUAGUAGGAAUAAUAAAGCCGUGUGGAGAGAGAGGUCCUUUUGCCUCUUUGGGGUCAGCAGUUCAAAGGGGCUGAGAGUCAGGUGACCUGAGCCUGCAGGGGGCAGUGAACCCCUGCUUCAAGUCCCCGCAGGGGCAGGGGUCCUACCAUCCGAUCCGAUCUGGGGAGGCCCCCCAGUGCACAAUUCCUGCCUGAGGAGCUGGACGUUAUCUCAGCUGUAAGGGCCAUGCGUGUCCUCAGCUGUGACCUGGGCUCCCCCCAACACUGCGCCCCAACCCAAAAUAGCGAAUGGGGAGCCUGAUGCAGGCCGGGGAGCUGGGGAGCCGGGGAGGGGAGAGGAGGGGCUUCACUCUGCAGUGUCAGUCCCAGGGCCGAGACUUGGCUUUGCUUUGAAUCCAAGGAGUUGAUGGAAUGUGCAUCCUCCACGAGGCAACCCCACUUUUAAGGGAGUUGGCAGCACAUCACAUCCCAGGCCUGGGUGGCCAGGAGCGGCGUGCUGUCACCAAGACGAGAGCUGCAGGUGUUUCUUAGUGGGGAAUUCCAUUCCGGCCGCGCAGCUGGUGUAGCUCUCUCCGGACUGAGACAGUCAGCAUAUCCCAUCUCUUCGGCUACGGGAUUGGUUUGGGAGGAGGCGCAUGACUCUAUUUCAGGAAGGCCAGAAUCUAAUUUAUCCAAUGAGAGGCAGCCCUGGUAGUUUGAUGGAAACACUUUCCAUUGGGGGGAGGGCCUCUCCUCCUGGUACGAAACAGGCAGAAUGGAAGUCUGAGAAGUGAGACCUGUUAGGCCAGCAGCGGGGAGAGCGGGAGGAGAGUCAGGUUCACAGUCGCUGUCAAGGUCCCGAGGACACCUGGAUCCACCCGUGCCUGAAGCCAUGUUUUUUUUCAAGUUUUUCCAAAAGCCACUAAAUUCCUUUUCCCUUUAUCUAGUUCAGCUUCGGUUUUGUUCACGCAGCCUUAAGUAUCUUUACUUACACAGUUUCUUGGAAGACAAGUGGAAGAGCCUGUUGAGGUUCUGGGGUUGAGAUAGUUCUAAUCAACCCCAUCUGACUUAUGGAGAAAGAAAGAAACAGAAAGACACUGUUUAAAAGCCUGUCAGGGAACCGCUGAGUUACUGGCGCCUGGAGAGCAGGCUGGGAGAGCAGAUGGAGGGUGGGGCUCUAGAUUCCUUUUUUAUGGGGUCUUCUGGGCCCUUCCACCUACAUCAAGCUGAGGGCCGUCUGUCAUCUGGGCCCCUGGCCUGGGUGAGUGUCAGGGUGGUGUUAGGAGGCGCCCCAGCCUCAGGACCACAGGCAGCCUCGGGUGCAGAUGUGGGGGGCGGGGGUGUCCACUUCCUAUAGACACAGGCCUAGGGACACAUUCCACUGGGUCUUAAGUAACUUUGCACCCUCCUUUGUUAAGCGCUCCCCAAAACCCAUCCCCAUACAAAUCAUCCCGAUGUUGACAAAUAGAACUGAAUUCCUGCUUUUCUCUCCACCCACCCUGGCUCAGGUGGGGAGCUGAUUGAUCCCAGGCAGAGGUGACUGUGUAGGUGGAGCAGGGGGAUUACAGUUUCCUGUAACAGAGCUUCCUCGGAGCAGGGGCAGCUCGCCACAGCGUUGGCAGGAGAAGCCCGUGGGCACUGGUUUCACAAAGUUUGGCUUUUCAGGGUCAGGACCAGCCCUUUGGCUUUUGGAACCCUCUUGAUACCUCGUUUCCUACGGUCAAAUGAGCAGCCUCUUGUGAGCAAUGCGUGGCUCAUAGUAAGCGCCUGUUGGUGCUUGUUGAACGAGCAACAGACCUGUGAAGUUGUGAAUUCAACAGAUGUUCAAUUUCUUUUUAAGGAUUUUAUUUACUUAUUUGGCAGAAAGAGAGAGACAGAGAGUGCGAGCGAGCCCUAGCAGGGGGAGCGGCAGGAAGAGGGAGAGGGAGAAGCAGGCUCCCCGCUCAGCAGGGAGCCCCACAUGGGACUCAGUCCCAGCACCCUGAGAUCAUGACCUGAGCUGAAGGCAGAUGCAUAACCGACUGAGCCACCCAGGCACCCCUCAACAGAUGUUCUAAUUCAGCAAAUUGCAGAAUGUACUGUGAGGUUCUCCCCCACCCCGCCCCCUGAAAUCACUCUCAGCCUCCAGGCUACCAAAAAAAAAAAAAAAAAAAAAAAGGUUUCUUCCCACACUGCCAUAGAGUCCUUGAAUUUCAGUCCUUAUCUCAGGACAAGAGAUUAGGGAUUUGAAUUGUCAUUCUGUUCAUGGGAGGUAUCCUGGGCUGUCCACAGCAGCCCCCUGCCCUCUGGUCCUCGUGGAUGUCUGUGGCAGUAGCUCUGUGGUCACUCACAUGAGUCAUGAGUCCUGCUGACCAUCCUGGAGUUUGGAAAUUCUUCUGUCUUCCAUCCAAGGACAAAUUCUGUGGAGACCAAAGCUUAUUAACAAGAGGGGGAUGGAUGCUUCUUAAGAAAAAGAAUACAAAAUCAUACAAAGUUAGAUACCAUGAUGAAUAUUUAUCUAGAACGGGACCAGAAAUUGCAGCAAAUUGUAGAUUUUUUUUUUAAAGUGACAAUGCAAGCAAUGCAAAAUACAGGAAAAUACCUGCAAUAUUUUUCUUCCAUUUUCUACCAUUUUUGCUGCACACUCUUUGAUAGCUUUUUCAUAUGUCAACAGUUUUGAAUAUUUUCCAUAAAGAGAACCAAGAAAUAAUUCAAUCUUUUUAAAAGCAUGGUUGGUCAAAAAUUGUCUUGUAUUGUUAAUAAAGAUAUUUCUUAGCUUCACAACACAUUCUUGGUAACGUCCUAGACAUUUUUAGGAUGGUUAUCAACUCUGGGAAGAUCUUUAUCCUGUUUUUCAUGCCUGGAUAGUAAGGUUUCAGGGCAGGUCCAGUUUUCUUGUAUAUCGAUUUAUCUGAAAUAGUCUUCAAAUGGAUGACGUUCGUUAACGAUUUUGUCACUGUCCUUGCUGCAGUGGUGACUUAUGAUCUAAGCUGCCUUCACUGAUGUCAAAUCAGCACAAGAUGUAAAUAUUUCCCAGUGUUAUGGGAUGCAUCCCUCAUUAACUGGAUUAUCAGAAACCCACAGGCUCUUGGUUUCUUCUCUUCCACAAAGACCUCUUCCUCUUGAUGAAUUUCUAUUCCACAAUGAUCUCUUCCUCUUUUUUUUUCUUAAAGAUUUUAUUUAUUAGAGAGAGAGAGGGGGAGCACCAGAAGGGGGAAGGGCAGAUGGAGAGGGAGAAGCGGGCUCCCCAGCUGAGCAGGGAGCCCAAUGUGGCUCCAUCCCAGGACCCCAGGAUCCUGAUCUGAGCUGAAGGCAGGUGCUUCACCGACUGAGCCACCCAGUCGUCCCCACAAUGAUCUCUUCUUCUUGAAUUACUUUCGGUUAAAUUCAGUUCUCAUUUUCGAACCAAUGGCUGUUGACUUCAAUAUUUAUCUUUAUCCCU
Long non-coding RNA from Canis lupus familiaris (dog), 7752 nucleotides. RefSeq lists it as uncharacterized. The record is from RefSeq and is a predicted model, not a curated record. The transcript has 4 exons. NCBI's taxonomy places the organism in Eukaryota, Metazoa, Chordata, Mammalia, Carnivora, Canidae.